Rattus norvegicus (Norway rat) is the source of this 107-nucleotide small nuclear RNA. Lineage: Eukaryota; Metazoa; Chordata; Mammalia; Rodentia; Muridae. The record is from Ensembl.
GCACUCACUUCGGGAGCACAUAUAAUAAAUUUGGGACAAUAUAAAGAAGAUUAGCUUGAACCCUGCUCAAGAAUGGCAUGCAAACUCAUGAAAAAAUUCUCAUUUUU